AGUGGCGGACGGGUGAGUAACGCGUGAGAAUCUGCCUUGGGGUCGGGGACAACCACUGGAAACGGUGGCUAAUACCGGAUAAGCCGAUUGGUGAAAGAUUUAUUGCCCGAAGAGGAGCUCGCGUCUGAUUAGCUAGUUGGUGAGGUAAGAGCUCACCAAGGCAGCGAUCAGUAGCUGGUCUGAGAGGACGAUCAGCCACACUGGGACUGAGACACGGCCCAGACUCCUACGGGAGGCAGCAGUGGGGAAUUUUCCGCAAUGGGCGAAAGCCUGACGGAGCAAGACCGCGUGAGGGAGGAAGGCUCUUGGGUUGUAAACCUCUUUUCUCAGGGAAGAAUCUCUGACGGUACCUGAGGAAUCAGCCUCGGCUAACUCCGUGCCAGCAGCCGCGGUAAUACGGAGGAGGCAAGCGUUAUCCGGAAUUAUUGGGCGUAAAGCGUCCGCAGGUGGCGAUUCAAGUCUGCUGUCAAAGCACGGGGCUUAACUCCGUAAAGGCAGUGGAAACUGAAUAGCUAGAGUGCCGUAUGGGUAGAGGGAAUUCCCGGUGUAGCGGUGAAAUGCGUAGAGAUCGGGAAGAACAUCGGUGGCGAAAGCGCUCUACUGGACGGCAACUGACACUCAGGGACGAAAGCUAGGGGAGCGAAUGGGAUUAGAUACCCC
This 660-nucleotide ribosomal RNA is filed under the name uncultured bacterium. Its description in RNAcentral is "bacterial SSU rRNA". It matches the Rfam family "Bacterial small subunit ribosomal RNA", at positions 94 to 788 of the family's 1533-position model. The record is from RNAcentral.